This 445-nucleotide ribosomal RNA is filed under the name uncultured bacterium. RNAcentral describes it as "bacterial SSU rRNA". It matches the Rfam family "Bacterial small subunit ribosomal RNA", at positions 330 to 792 of the family's 1533-position model. The record is from RNAcentral.
CCCAGACUCCUACGGGAGGCAGCAGUGGGGAAUAUUGCACAAUGGGGGAAACCCUGAUGCAGCGACGCCGCGUGAGUGAAGAAGUAUUUCGGUAUGUAAAGCUCUAUCAGCAGGGAAGAAAAUGACGGUACCUGAUUAAGAAGCCCCGGCUAACUACGUGCCAGCAGCCGCGGUAAUACGUAGGGGGCAAGCGUUAUCCGGAUUUACUGGGUGUAAAGGGAGCGUAGACGGUGAUCCAAGUCAGAAGUGAAAGCCCGGGGCUCAACUCCGGGACUGCUUUUGAAACUGUGUGACUGGAGUGCAGGAGAGGUAAGCGGAAUUCCUGGUGUAGCGGUGAAAUGCGUAGAUAUCAGGAGGAACACCAGUGGCGAAGGCGGCUUACUGGACUGUAACUGACGUUGAGGCUCGAAAGCGUGGGGAGCAAACAGGAUUAGAUACCCGCGUA